UGUCUGUUCUUUUGCUGCAAGUAAGACUCACCACAACUGUCUUUUCUCCCAUUGAAGAUACCCUCAACUCAAGAACAUCAACAGGGGAAGAAGAUGGUGGUGAUCUAGUAGUUGAUCCUGAAGAAUCAUAUCCAUAUUGCAUCUCAAAUCUUCUCGAUCUUUUAGGCUUUGAAUCGAAACUUUCAUCUUGUUCAAAUUCAACAUCGUUACUAUUCUUCUUUGACGAUGAUCUUCCAGAUUCAAGCUCUG
RNAcentral lists this unclassified non-coding RNA (249 nucleotides) under Hevea brasiliensis (rubber tree). Lineage: Eukaryota; Viridiplantae; Streptophyta; Magnoliopsida; Malpighiales; Euphorbiaceae. The record is from RNAcentral.